RNAcentral lists this ribosomal RNA (253 nucleotides) under uncultured bacterium. RNAcentral describes it as "partial 16S ribosomal RNA". It matches the Rfam family "Bacterial small subunit ribosomal RNA", at positions 524 to 776 of the family's 1533-position model. The record is from RNAcentral.
UACGUAGGGGGCUAGCGUUGUCCGGAAUCAUUGGGCGUAAAGGGCGUGUAGGCGGUCCGGUAAGUCCGCUGUGAAAGUCGGGGGCUCAACCCUCGGAUGCCGGUGGAUACUGUCGGGCUUGAGUACGGAAGAGGCGAGUGGAAUUCCUGGUGUAGCGGUGAAAUGCGCAGAUAUCAGGAGGAACACCAGCGGCGAAGGCGCUGCUCUGGGCCGGUACUGACGCUGAGGAGCGAAAGCGUGGGGAGCGAACAGG